UACAGAGACCCCGAGCAUUAUCCGGAUUUAUUGGGCGUAAAGCGUUCGUAGGCGGUUUCGUAAGUCAUUUGUAAAAUCCUCAGGCUUAACUUGGGGGCUGCAGGUGAUACUGCGAGGCUUGAGAGUGGGAGAGGUAAGCGGAAUGCCCGGUGUAGCGGUAAAAUGCGUUAAUAUCGGGUAGAACACCAAAGGCGAAGGCAGCUUACUGGAACAUUUCUGACGCUGAAGAACGAAAGCGUGGGUAGCGAAAGGG
Molecule: ribosomal RNA, 253 nt
Filed under: uncultured bacterium
Lineage: Bacteria
Description: partial 16S ribosomal RNA
Rfam family: Bacterial small subunit ribosomal RNA
Source: RNAcentral